Hyaena hyaena (striped hyena) is the source of this 107-nucleotide small nuclear RNA. Lineage: Eukaryota; Metazoa; Chordata; Mammalia; Carnivora; Hyaenidae. The record is from RefSeq and is a predicted model, not a curated record.
GUGCUUACUUCCGCAGCACUCGUACUAAAAUUGUAACGAUACAGAGAAGAUUAGCAUGUCCCCUGCGCAAAGAUGACAUGUAAAUUCAUGAAGCAUUCCAGAUUUUU